Non-coding RNA from Caerostris extrusa, 73 nucleotides. Lineage: Eukaryota; Metazoa; Arthropoda; Arachnida; Araneae; Araneidae. The record is from the annotation of a GenBank genome assembly.
GUUUUCGUAGUGUAAUGAUUAUCACGUGUGCUUCAUAUGCGCAGGUUCCCCAAUUCGAACCCGGGCGGAAACA